CCUACGGGUGGCAGCAGUGAGGAAUAUUGGUCAAUGGUCGUGAGACUGAACCAGCCAAGUAGCGUGCGGGAUGACGGCCCUGUGUAUUGUAAACUGCUUUUGUGCGGGAAUAAAGUGCGUCACGUGUGAUGUUUUGUAUGUACCUCAUGAAUAAGGACCGGCUAAUUCCGUGCCAGCAGCCGCGGUAAUACGGAGGAUCCGAGCGUUAUCCGGAUUUAUUGGGUUUAAAGGGUGCGUAGGCCGGAUGUUAAGCGUGCCGUGAAAGGCCGUGGCUCAACCCUGGCACCGCGGUUGGAACUGGCAGGCUCGAGUGCGAGGGAAGUAUGCGGAAUGCGCGGUGUAGCGGUGAAAUGCUUAGAUAUCACGAAGAACUCCGAUUGCGAAGGCAGCAUACGGAAGCGACACUGACGCUGAAGCUCGAAGGCGUGGGUAUCGAACAGGAUUAGAUACCCGAGUAGUC
RNAcentral lists this ribosomal RNA (460 nucleotides) under uncultured bacterium. Its description in RNAcentral is "partial 16S ribosomal RNA". It matches the Rfam family "Bacterial small subunit ribosomal RNA", at positions 338 to 795 of the family's 1533-position model. The record is from RNAcentral.